AAAAAAGGAAAUGGAGACGAAGAAGAAGAUGACAGAAGCUCGUCUUCCUCCGGUAUCGCCCUCACGAUCUUUCUUCUCUCCCAACCUUACACUUCUCUCUCAAGCGCGCUCCUAACCCUCAAUCUCACUCAAACGCUCUCUCAGCUCACAAUCUCAAAGAAACAUUCUCUCUCAACUCUCACAAAUAUUUUCAAACAACAAGCAUAUGAGAAGGAUAAAGAGAAAGAAAGAGAGGUCCUU
RNAcentral lists this long non-coding RNA (240 nucleotides) under Lathyrus oleraceus (garden pea). RNAcentral's name for it is "Pisum sativum (pea) long non-coding RNA (PSAT_LNC031005)". The record is from RNAcentral. Lineage: Eukaryota; Viridiplantae; Streptophyta; Magnoliopsida; Fabales; Fabaceae.